AUAGCCCUCGGUGCAAUGCGGCCAGCCCGGACCGAGGACCGCGCUUCGGCUAGGAUGCUGGCGUAAUGGUCGUGAGCGACCCGUCUUGAAACACGGACCAAGGAGUCUAACGUCUAUGCGAGUGUUUGGGUGUCAAACCCAUACGCGUAAUGAAAGUGAACGGAGGUGAGAACCCAGGGCGCAUCAUCGACCGAUCCAGAUG
Molecule: ribosomal RNA, 202 nt
Filed under: Haematomma accolens
Lineage: Eukaryota; Fungi; Ascomycota; Lecanoromycetes; Lecanorales; Haematommataceae
Description: partial large subunit ribosomal RNA
Rfam family: Eukaryotic large subunit ribosomal RNA
Source: RNAcentral